Brassica rapa (field mustard) is the source of this 2499-nucleotide long non-coding RNA. RefSeq lists it as uncharacterized. Lineage: Eukaryota; Viridiplantae; Streptophyta; Magnoliopsida; Brassicales; Brassicaceae. The record is from RefSeq and is a predicted model, not a curated record.
GACGCGGUUCAAGGGUGAUACAGUUUAUGGAAUGGUGCAGUGUACGAAAGACUUGUCACCAGAAGCUUGUGAAGAGUGUUUGGUUUUUAAUAGCAUACAUUUUCAAGAUUGCUUGAAUGAUAAACGAGGAGCGAGAUUUGUGGGUCCGAGCUGUACUUUUAGGUUUGAGUUUUAUCCUUUUAUUGCGGUUCGAAAUUUUAAAAAGCUAAAUAAAUAAUGAAAAAAAUUGCUAAAAUAGAACAAAAAAAAUAACUAUAUUUGUCCCUUUGACAAUUAACUUGUCCUCUUAUUGUAACUAGAGAUUUUGCCCGGGCUACGCCCAGGUUUAUACAAAUAGCAUUGUAUUUAAUAUUUAUAUUACAAUAUUAUAUCUAUUUAUAAAAUAUAAAUAGUAAUAAUUUAAAUUAGAAAUGAAUAAAACUUGCAAUUUAUUGUUUUUAUCAUCUAAAAUAUGUAUGGGAUGAUGAACACAUGUGAAAUGAAUUAAAAAUUGUUAAACUUUAGUUAUUAUCCAAAAUAUUUUUUUUUACAUAUUUUGGUUAGUUUGAAAAUAUAUUAUUAAUCUUAACAUCACAUUUUUUAUAUUUAUUAUUCAAAUCAUGUUUAAUAUUUUAUUUCUGUAUUAUUUAAUUUUUAUAAUAUACUUUAUUACUAUAUAAUUUAUUUUUACAUUGUUUUAUAUGUAAAUAGGCAAUAAUUAUUGUUAUAGGCCAAUGUAAAAAAACUUUUCUUAUUUUAAAACAGAGUUUUUUUGGUCUAGUUUUAAAGACAGAGUUACGUUCUGAUAAACCAAAAUACCCAAUUACAACAAAGAACAUGACAAAGGUGUAUUGUGGGUGGUUUUUCCCUUGCUCGUUCAACUCCUCUUACUUUUUAUAUGAAGUGAUGUAGUACUAUUUUCUGUAUUUUAAUAUUUGUUCUUCAAUAUUUCUUUAAACUUUUUUAAUAAUGUCUAUAAGCUUGUUAUAAUUUUAGUACAAAAAUUUAUGACGUUACCAUAAUGUUCGUACUUUUAUAGAUCCAACAAUAAGUUAAUCCUUCUACAUAAGAGACUGACUAAUUUUUAAUCUUAAAACUAUUCAAAGAAAAGUAAUAGUCCAAACUUUAUUUUGAUGUAACAUAUAUUUAAAGCGAUAGUUUAGAUAAUUGAUGAUCAAUAACUUUAAAAAUUUAUAAUAUUUUGUGUAAUUCAAAUACUUUUGAGUCAGCAAUACUUAUUUGUGUUAAUGAGUCAAAAUUCAAAAACUCCAUAUAUUGUUUUUGGAUAGUCAAAAACAAUUCAAUAGCCAAAGCUUUGGAAUAUUAUUUUUGAAUGAGAAAAUGAACAUGUCUCUGGAAAAAUCCAAGUCUCCUUGUAAUUAUAUAGUAACCGUGACUUUUAAAAUUUAUAUAUAUAUGAAGACAUAAAUAAUUUAAACGGCCAGUUAUUCCAAUCAGUUACCUAAACCACAUCCAUGUAAAAUCACUUGUUCACUCGCACCGUCCUUCAGCUUUGUUGCAUGUUUCAGCCCAUCCAGUUUGCCACACGACCAACUAUGCCCCUGAAGUAGCGUGGAAACUCAUAUGUUUCAGAAGUAUAGAUAACACACAAAUUCAUUAGACUAUUGAUUCAACCACAAGAGACCUGACCAUAUAUUUGACAAUAUAAUCUAAAUUCAAGAACAAACCAAAACAAAUCAGAAAUGGCAACCUAAUUAAAACGAUGAUCCAUAUUAAAAAAAAAAAGAAGUAAAAAUGAAAUAUGCUGCUUAUAGUGAAACUCUAUGCCGCAAUAUUGGAUGGUCAGUGAGAACCCAGACUUGCACCUUCCUUCUUUGAACCACAGUGAAAAAACAAACAACACACACAACAAUAAAACUGGUGGUUGUGGUUAAUGACAAUGACUCAUUCACCAUUGUUUGAUCAUCUUAGCCCAAGCAAUGUUACCAGCAUAUAAGCCUCAACUCCUAUAUUUAAAACUGUAUUGUGUAAAUAAACCCACAAUGAUUUUCAAUGUCUGAGAAUAUAAUUUUAACAGAAGAUUUUACAUUUUGAAUAGUUUUUCUUACAUUGCAAUCAAAAGAGCGAGCAAGGACUAUGGCUGCGUUACGCUCUUGUUUGUUCUGACUAAAAAGGUUAAAAAUUUAGGCUCUUUCUGGUUGCCCGAACAAUGCCUUGGCAGGAGCUUUAAUAUUGCCUCUAAUUCCACAGAGCUGAAUAUUUGAAUACCCAAAAAAAAACAUAUAUUCUUGUAAAAGAUUUUCAUAGAAUGUCAAAUGAGUGCUUUUUUUUUUUGUGAAAUAGCUUGAAGAAUCACAAUCUCAAGAUACCUGCAUAUAUGUCAAUUACAUUUCUCUUGCCUUUGUGAUCCAUCCUAGAGAUAAUUUUAUUCUCGUCUUCCAAGGGUAAAGACAUGAGAUCAGGAUGCAGUCUUGUUCAUUCAUCUGUAAUAUAAUCACCUGAAAAAGAGUUCAAAAUAUUCAGCUUAGUGGAACAUAAACUCAAUGCAACUCUUUCCCA